Capsicum annuum is the source of this 105-nucleotide small nucleolar RNA. NCBI's taxonomy places the organism in Eukaryota, Viridiplantae, Streptophyta, Magnoliopsida, Solanales, Solanaceae. The record is from RefSeq and is a predicted model, not a curated record.
UAUUGAUGAUGGGGGAAGUCCUUGAGAAGAGAUUAACCUUUCCCAUGCAUAAUAUAACUUAUCAUCUAGCUUCUUCUUAAAACUAGAAAUUUCACUGCGUAACCU